RNAcentral lists this long non-coding RNA (9565 nucleotides) under Lathyrus oleraceus (garden pea). RNAcentral's name for it is "Pisum sativum (pea) long non-coding RNA (PSAT_LNC010008)". Lineage: Eukaryota; Viridiplantae; Streptophyta; Magnoliopsida; Fabales; Fabaceae. The record is from RNAcentral.
AAAGAGAGACGAAGAAGCAGAUUCCGAACCAGAGAGGCGUAGGGAGCGAAAAUGGUGAAGUUCUUGAAACCUAACAAGGCGGUGAUUCUCUUGCAAGGCCGAUAUGCCGGCAAGAAAGCCGUGAUUGUGAAAACCUUCGACGACGGAACCCGCGAGAAGCCUUACGGACACUGUCUUGUUGCUGGAAUUAAGAAGUACCCUAGCAAAGUGAUCAAGAAAGACUCAGCGAAGAAGACGGCGAAGAAAUCUAGGGUUAAGGCAUUCGUGAAGCUGGUGAAUUACCAACAUCUGAUGCCUACUCGUUACACUCUAGAUGUGGAUCUGAAGGAUGCUGUUGUUCCUGAUGUUCUUCAAUCAAAGGACAAGAAGGUGACUGCACUGAAAGAAACUAAGAAGAGGCUUGAAGAGAGGUUCAAAACAGGGAAGAACAGGUGGUUUUUCACCAAGCUUAGGUUUUGAAUUUUCACUGUUCUGUUUCUAGUUAUACAUUUUGGCUUUUGAUUAUUAUGAAUGAAUUAUGGAAGAACUUGUGGCUUAGUUUUGAUUAUUAUGAAGGUAUUAUUAUAUGCAUCUUUGAUCUAUCUCAUAUAUUAGCUUGAUUAGAUUGGUUAUUUACAUUUUGAAAUUGUGGUUAAUUUGGUUAAUUCAGAAAAUAAGAUAAGGAAUGCAGGAAAUAUUACGAUUUUGUAUUUUAUACAAUUUUUUCUCUGCUAUACUAUUACUGCUUGUUUAAGCUUGUCUAGCUUAGUAGGUUUUUAGCCACGGUAAUUUUUAAGAGCUCACGAGAUAAAUGUCAUUUUUUGUGUUUGAAUAACAAACUGUCUUUAAAUUAGACUACCGUUUUUGUGGUUUGGUGAGGAUGCCUACCUCCUGAUAUCUUGUGCCCCAAAAUUAGAUUCACACAACUUUUCCAUUUCAUUUGCAAACUCUUUCAUUUACAAAAAAAAUGAUAGCAGACAUCAAUAUCUUUGCUCCUUUCAUGCACCACUUAUCACAAAAACUACUUUGUAGCCUCUUUUCACUCAUAUAGUGUGACAACUACACCUUGUAGUGUAAAAAAUAAUGCUUCUGUGUUUGCUUAGUGUCAUUAUUAGUUGCUUUUUUCUCUGAAUUAUGUGUCUGAGUUGCUUAGACUAUUAGUUGAUUUUUUCCAUGUCUUGCUUAGAGUCACUAUUUGUAACGCAGAAAAAGAAUAAAAAAAAACUGCAUUGAAAUAUAAUCAAUUGGCAGGAGAAAGGAAAUAAUGAGAGGAUCCAGAUCUGUAACCACAUGCAUUACAUUCGGCCUUGUAGUUGUGAGCUACAUCAAGCCUUCGACUAGCUGCUUGUAAAAGAACCGUCCAUCUUAAGAGCAUUUUUAUCCUUGAAGAUUUUGAAUGCUCCAUUCCAAUUUUCUUUCAUUUAUGAGACAUACUUUAUUUGACUAAUGAAACAUAGUACUCCAAUAUCAAGAAAGCACAUCAUCUUUUAUUGAGCUUGCACAUCUUCUGCUCCACAUUCUUUAUCUCAUAACCCACUGUUGCUCUUCACAGGCAAUUCUAACUAAUUUUCUGUAAAGAAAGACCGAGUUUAUGUGGGAAGUUGAAACACACCAACUUCUUUGAGCAACUAAUGCUUAGAUUGUUUGCACUGUGUCCAUACAAGCAACAUGGGGCAUCUCUUAUCUUCAGAAGAAGUUUGAUCAGAGUGAACAAAAUGAGCAAACAAAGCUAAAAUGAGCAAACAAAGGUAGUUAAGUUUAUCCGGUUUCCUCUUAAUUAGAAAGACCUCUUUUACAUGGACUUUCAUUCAUCCAUGUCGAUGCUCUUCUCUUUCAGGUUUCUGUCACUGGGAAAGUAUAAUUUUCCUCACCUUUAGGAGUCAAAUGAUCUUCUUCAUUGUAUUCUCAAUUCUCUUCAUUGCUGUCAUCCUUGCCAACUCCAUAUUCCAAUUCAAAUGUAUUAUCCUCUUUACAACUCUCAUCCUAACUAUACUUUUUGUCUUCAAAAAUGACAUCUCGACUAAUGACAAUCCACUUUGAGACGUGGUCGUUGCGACUCUUAUCUUCAAGUUUUAUCCGUCGAAAAUCUGGUACAUGAGCAUAUGUUACACUGCAAAAAUCUCUGAAGUGUUAGAUUUACCCUAUAACAAGCUUCCUUUGGCGUCAUCUCUUUUCCUGAAAAUAUUGGACAUAUAUUAAAAUCAUGGAAUUCCUAGUUGACUUCCUCUUGCCAAAACCUUUUUGGGACAUAUUUCUCAAUCAAUAAACUCUUCGCCAUGUUCAUCGCUUUUUUAUUGGUUUUCUCAUCGACUAUGUUUUGUUGUGACAUAUAUGCAACAAUUAAUUUCAUCUUGAUCCCAUUUGUUCUACAAUAUUCCUUGAACUCAAUCAAUUUCUUUUUCCCCAAGAACAUUAAAUAGCUUAAAAGAUAUGAAUGCAUCUGCCUUUGAGAUAAGAAAAUACACCGAUUUCAUUUAUACGAUAAUUAUCAACAAAACAAAUGAGACACUUUUUGCUACUUUAUGAUAUUGGAGAUAUUGACCACAAUAUCAUCAUCAACUAGCCACAGUUAUUAACAGCGGUCGCUCCAAGCACUAUCCCAGUUUUGGAUAACGCCAGGAAAAGUUGGGAUAAAGAGUUGCGGGAGCAGAGUGCUUCCCGGUCCGAAGCGUUUUUUUUGCUUUUAGGGCUUUUUGGAGUGCAAAAAAACCUUUUAAUCCUUAAAAAAAAUUAAAAUUUUAAAAAAUAUUAUAGUCGUUCGUGUUUUCUCCUCUUUCAUUCGUGUUUUUAGGUUUCUCCAUCGCAUUUCUUUUGUUCGUUGUUUCUCGUGUUUUUUGUGCGCUACUUCUUAUGCCCUUAACUCCUCAUCUGCCUCAACUGCUUCAAGCUUCUCUCUAUUCUCCUUCUUCUCUACUUCUGUUUUCUACUUUUCUAUUUUGUUCUCUAUCCUGUUCUUUUCUAUUAAUUAAUUUUCUAUUCUAUUUCAGGAUAGUUUUUCUUUCAUAUCAUUGUUCUCGAAUUAAUAUAUGUAGAUUAUUCAUAUAACUAAUCCAAAAUAUUAUUCAAUCUACAUUAAAUAUAUAGUUAGAUUAUUCAUAUUAUUAGUCAAAAAAUUUAUCCCGCUAUCCACUAUCUCAUUUUAUGAGUCGGCCGCUCGGCUUCGUUAUCCGGGAUAAAUAACUGUGGAACCAACUUCAACCUUUCUGAUGCUCUUCAUGUGUUGCUAUUUGCGAUCAUUUCUUUGUGUUACUUCCCCUUCAGACAAUCACUACAUACAACUUCAACCUAAAAAAAAACUCGGCAAACCUCUCACCAUACCUUUGUUUUUAGAGUUUUCGAUCCUUUGUAGAUGAGGUGACUGAAUCUUUGGUGCCAAAGAUAAGUCAAUUCUUGAGUGGUUGCUUGAAAAAAAUUAUUCCUUGGGUUCCUCCUCAUUUGACUGUGUGUUUGAUAACAACAUAAACAUUUUGUUCGUUGUCAUGUUGGUUUGAAUAAACAAUAACAUUAAUUUGGCUUCAUUAAAACAAAUAGACCCUUAUCUUGCAACUACUUAACAUUGAUAAGGUAGUUCUUCAAUUUAGACACAUAAAACACAUCUUCACUAGAUGGUUUUCUUUGUUCACUGUCAAUUAGAUGCUUCAUUUAUCAACAAUGUGAAUGCUUGCAUAAUUCCCCAACUUGACGAGGUUGUUGAAACUUUCUUGUAAGUUGUAAAAAAGUGAUCAAUUCUCACACAUGUGAUUGUUGCACCCAGAAUCAAUAAACCACUCAUUAAUACCACCUCCUUUGAAUCUUCCAAGUAUGCAUAAUUUGUUUCACAUUCGUAUUGGAAAUGUCUGAUUUUAUGACAUUUAUAGCAUUAAAUGGUCUCUCUAUUCCAAUUUUGAUGACCAUUGCCUUUGGCUCUGCUUUGUCCAUGUCCUCUUCUAAAAGUGGCUCUUCCACAACCUUUACCAUCACAGGUCUCUUCGUGAAUGACCUUCAAAAUGUGUUCUUAUUCGCCAGUUACCUUAAACUUUUGCUCACGGACGAGCAAAGAACUUUGUAAGGCAUCCACAAAGAGUUAAUCUAUAUCUUUGGAUUCUUAAAUGGAACAAACGAUGUAAUUCCAUUUAUCAGUAAAGGUUUUAAAAAUAUUCUCAAUGAUCUUAACAUCCCUCAUAUUUCCCCCUAUAAUUUAUUAUGUCUUACAAUCGUCAUUACUCGACUAAAUUAAUCAGUGAUCGACUCAUCAUGGUUCAUUGUCAGAACCUAAAAAUUCUUCUACGGAUGGUUGAGUUGAGCUCCCUUCAUUCAAGUGUUGCAUUGAAACUUGGUCUUCAUGGAGUCCCGAUUCUAUUUAGAUGUCUCGUUUUGUGUGACCGUUUUUAGAAUUGAAUUGUCAAGAGAUUGAAGCAAGUAACUUUUACCCUUAAAGUCCUCCAGCUUUAUCUUCUCCAAGUUUUGUUUUUGUGUUCUUGUCAUCCCUUACAUACUCUCGGAUUCUGAGCUGCCUAAUUCAACAGGAACCCAUUAUUCUUUAGAUCAAAGGAGAUUAUUCAUGACCUUGCUCUAUUGAUCGUAGUCACCAUCAAAAUUCAGAAUGAAAGGUUCUGCAAAACUUUUUACUUCUGUCCCCAUCUCCCUUCACUCCCUUACGUGUUUUCUCUCAAGUCAUUGCUUUGAUACCAGAAUGUUAGAUGAAAAACUAACUUAUGUGUUGAAUAAGAAAAUACAUCAAAUAAAUAGGAAUAAAACAGGUGAACUACAACUCAUGUUCACAACCCGCAUUUUACAUAAGAAAUAGGAAACAAACUUGACCAAAUCAAAUAUAUUAUACCUAAACUUAUCAAUAACAUAGGCACUUUAGUGGGGAAAGAAACCCAUUAACCAUAUUCUUAAGAAAAAGUAAUUCAACAACCAAUGUAUUUUAAUUGUUAAGAAUGUGUUUGAGUUUUUUUUUAUAAGCAAAAUUUCAUUACAAAAAACAGAGUAUAAUGGGUACUCUAGCCCAACAAUACAUAUACAACCAGUCACCUCCUAAUCAAGCAAUUCAAGGGGGAUGUAAAUCAGACGAAGAAAUUAUAAACAAAGUUAUUAUUGUUGCCUAUAACAGUCCAAUUCCAAGAAAGAAGCUUAAUAAAUAAGAGUAUGUCUUCUAUGUUGAAAAUUGUACCUUGAAAUGAAGUAUUAUUUCCCUUCAUCCAAAUGCUUCAACAAUCAGCUAACCUAAUUGAGUCUGCCAGGCUAGAACUGAAAGCUUUCCUCAAUAGCCUAACUGUUAGAUGUUAAUAACGCUUUUUUACACGAUGAUUUUAAUGAAGAAAUUUAUAUGAUUUUACCUAAAGGAGUAACUAUUAAUACUCCUUCAUCUUCAACUACCAAAGUCUGCAAGUUUCAAAAGUCCAUUUAUGGACUCAAACAAACUAGUCGACAAUGGUAUUCAAAGUUGUCUGAAUCCUUAAUUUCUAUUUGUUAUAAACAUUCUCUUAUUGACUACUCCCUUUCCAUAAAGCACGAAAACUCUUCAUUUACCAUUUUAUUAAUUUAUAUUGAUGAUAUUGUUCUUUUUGGAAAUGAUUUAUCUGAAAUCAACUCUGUUAAAGCCUAUCUUCACAAUUGUUUUAAAAUUAAGGACUUAUGCAAUAUUAGAUUCUUUAUUGGUUUAGAAUCAGCCAGGUCUUUUAAAGGAAUCAUGAUAAAUAAAUAAAAUACACUUUAGAACUCUUGGAAGACUCUGGCCAACUUGCUAUCAAGCCUUCUAAAACCUAUAUGAUCCUUCCCUUAAGCUAGAUAAUCCAGAUUCCCUUCUCUAUGAGGAUGAACCUCAAUUUCAAAGACUUAUAGGAAGACUUCUUUAUUUAAAUACUACUAGACCCGACACAGACUUUGUUGUUCAAUAACUUAGUAAAUAUAUCUCCAAACCGAAGCUAGUUCACUUCAAAGCUGCUAUUCGUGUUUUACAAUAUUUAAUAUUUGCUCCAAGUACUUGCAUUUUUUUUUGUAUCUGUUGAUUUUUGCUUAUCUAACUUUGAAGAUUCUAAUUGGGCUACUUGUCCAACCUCUAGAAGAUCUGUCACUGUUUGUGUUGUAUUUCUUGGCAUUCUAUAGUCUCCUGAAACCUAAAAAGUAGGGCAUUAUCUCCCAAAGUAGUUCAGAACCAGAAUACGGUGCUUUGGGAAGCCUAGCCUAUAAAAUUAAGUGGAUACACUACCUAUUUAAUGAUUUCAACACCUCGUUUCAUCAACAAACUUCAGUAUAUUAAGACAAUAAUUCUUCAAUCUACCUCACUCACAAUCCUCCUUUUCAUGAACAAUCCAAAUUAGGGUUGGCAAAACGGGUCGUCUGCCCUGCACAUCUUAAGCCCGCCAAAAAAAGGGGAGGGACGGGCAAGCCCGACAAGUGAAGUUGGACUUAAAAAUCUAUCUAACCCCGCCAAGGUGGCGGGUUGGCGGGCGGCGGACUUGCCCGUCUAUUUAUUUAUUAUUCAUUUUUUAAUAAAUAAAUAUGUUUAUUUUUAUAUUUCAAUUAGUUUUUUCACUUACUUUUUAGAAUACUUUUUUAUAAAGCAUAAUUUAACAAAUUUUAUUUAAAAAAAUAUUGCAUAUAUUCAUAAAUAAAUAAAUAAAAUAGAAUCAUCAACAAGUAUUUUAAAAUUAUAGUUUAAAUACUAAUCUUCAACCAACGAAAAUAAAUAUUUCAAGUGGUUGACAACUAGGUUGAGGGACCAAUCCACCCUUUUUUUUUGCGGGUUUAAGGCGGUGCAGGCUUAAAGUGGGACGGACGGAGCGGAUAGACGGGUAUAAAAUCCUAACCCAAUCCACCAUUUUUGAAGGGUGCACGGGCCGACCCGACGGGUCACGACCUAUUUUGCCAUCCCUAGUCCAAAUAUAUGGAACUCAAUUGCCAUAUGAUUUAGAAAAAGAUAGAAUCUGGGCUCAUCAAACUGUUUCCUAUCAUUACCAAGACUCAAAUGCCAGAUUUUCUAACUAGAACAACCGUAUAAACCAGCCUUUGAGACUCACAUUUCCAAAUUUGAACUACUCAACAUUCAGUCUAAUUUGUGGGGGAUGUAUCACAUAUAGGAAAUAUUACAUAGUUUAUAUUUUUAUCGCUCUAACCAUUAUGACUAGUUAAAGCUACUAGCCAUUACUUUCUAGUUUAUAGGAUUAUGCUGUUAUUUUCCUGUGUGUAUAUAUAGGGGAUUGUUAUAUUUUCUCUAUGUUGAAUAAUAAAGGUGUGUAAACAUUAAUAUUAAAAGUUAAAUUAAUAUGUUUAUUUUAAUUAUAAAAAACGAAAGAAAUUGUUUUCUUCUUCAACAAAGAUUUGCAUUCGUCACCUCUUUUUCUUUCAAUUCUUAUCAUUUUUUUAUUUUCUCUUUUGCAAAUCCAAUACAUACCACACCACCGGUUACUUAUUCUCUGUUUUGAUCUUCCAUCGCAUGUCUAUACAACUACGCCACUAUUUUUGAGAUAGCGAGUGUCGAUUAAUGAAGACAAUAUUUUUUUUAUUGUGUGACUAGGUUGAAGAAAAGUAUGAAUCCUAAUUUUUAUGUCAAUUUUGUAUCUAUGAAAACAAAACAAAAAAUGAUGUAUUUAGCGACCUUCCGAAUGUAUUUGGUAAGGAAUGGAAAGGUUUAAGUGGAAAUGAAUUUGGAGAGACAUUUUUGAGUACAUUGAAAUGAGAAAAAAAUGUCACAUGAUUAUAUAUUGAAAGACACAUAUAUGAUAUAAAUAUUGAUUUCAAUAGAAUUUUGGAUGGUCUUAGUAUAAUGAUUUUGUAUUUUGACCUUAGCGAUUUCAUUAGAAAGGACAAUGUCUCUCCUAAAAUAUAACAUAUUUUGACGAGUGUCAUUUUUAAUAAAAGUGUUCGAUAUAUAAAUGUAAAAUUUGAGAUAACCACAAGACAAAAAUAAAUUUUUGAUUGUUUGUAAGCUGUACAUUAUAAGAUUUUCUCUUUGAUAUCCUUAUUGACGGUCUAGACAAACAUAUAUCUUCGGUAGAGUAUUGUACCAUCCUUAAAUAUUGGCUUAUGAUUCCCUUAUUUCAUGUUGAAGAGGUUUGUUAUGUAUACCCACAAAGCGUCCUUGGAUACAUUUGAGAACACGUUAUUCAUUCCAACGAGCUCUGAGAAUUCAUAAACUUAUAUGACUAUGUUAUGAAUGUUCUAUUUGAAAAAAUUAGACCCUUACAAUUUUUUUGAUUAAUCCACACAAGAGAAGAUGAAAAUUUAUAUAUAAUCUUAAUUAUAUAUAUUGUAAAAUCAUAAUGCAUAAAAAAUUAUUUUCAUAAAUAUAAUUUUUAAAAAUAUUCAUCUUAUCAUUAAAAAAUAAUAGCGGUGUAUAACUAACCGUCCAUCUUCAAAGUUAUUUUGCAGGUGCCUAAUUCUCUAAAAUAUAUGCCUAAUUUUGCAUGUGCCUAAUUCUAUAAAAAUUAUUUCAGUCAAUUUAGAGCUGUAUUUUUAUAUGCCUUAUAUUUCUAAGAUAUACAAUUGAGAUUAUACACAAAUAGUAUAAACCCAUGUCUAUACCGGUUUAAUGUCCAUGUUACCUUAGAAACUUGCAAAAUUGUAUUUAAUUUUUUAUAAUUGAAAAAAUGAUAAGAUUUUUUUAUAAUUGUAUUUAAUAUAAACGAAUGGGUCAUUCUAAUUUGAUUUUGAUAAUAAAAAAUGAUAAGAUUUUUUUAUACACCAAUUUUUUAAAGUCUAGACGGAUUGAGUAAUACAUUAGACAAAUCCCUAUCCAAUCUAAUCCAAUAUGUUACACCUAUUGACUAGAGUGAAACUUCUAUCCAAUCUAAUCCAAUAUGUUACACCUAUUGACUAGAGUGAAACUUUUGCAUGAUGAUUCAUAAUUAUUUAUUUCAUUUAAAAUUGAUCUAUCUUCUUUUUAAUUGAGAUCACAACGAAUCAUUAAUAUCAAGAUGGCUCACAUUUUUUUUAUUAAUUAUAGUUUUUAUUUAUUUAUUAUGGUACAAUAUAUAACUAUUUGUUAGUACAAUAUAAAUAAAAUUAUAAGAAUGUGAAUAAAGCUCUUUAAAAAAUCAUAUUGUAAAUAAAUAGUCAUACUUUUGCACAAAAAAUGUUGGCCCUAGACUAUAAUCUAAUUUUAAAUUGAUUACUCCAUUUAUUUACUUUUAUGAAUGAGAUGUAUUUUUGUUUUUCAUUUUUGUCUUAUAAAUUGGGCCAUAAUAAUAGCAAAUUGGGCUCUAAAUGACGGGCCCAGGAUCCAAUUGGGUAUUAAGCUUCAAUAUCUAUAAACAGAAUUAGGGUUUUUAUCCCAGAAAGAGAGACGAAGAAGCAGAUUCCGAACCAGAGAGGCGUAGGGAGCGAAAAUGGUGAAGUUCUUGAAACCUAACAAGGCGGUGAUUCUCUUGCAAGGCCGAUAUGCCGGCAAGAAAGCCGUGAUUGUGAAAACCUUCGACGACGGAACCCGUGAGAAGCCUUACGGACACUGUCUUGUUGCUGGAAUCAAGAAGUACCCUAGCAAAGUGAUCAAGAAAGACUCAGCGAAGAAGACGGCGAAGAAAUCUAGGGUUAAGGCAUUCGUGAAGCUGGUGAAUUAUCAACAUCUGAUGCCUACUCGUUACACUCUGGAUGUGGAUCUGAA